Molecule: long non-coding RNA, 478 nt
Organism: Humulus lupulus (European hop)
Lineage: Eukaryota; Viridiplantae; Streptophyta; Magnoliopsida; Rosales; Cannabaceae
Exons: 3
Source: RefSeq, a predicted model, not a curated record
CCAAAACUAGAGAGAAGAAGAGAGAGAGAGAGGCGUGAGCUAGAGAGAGAAGGAGAAGAAGAAGGAGAAGAGGGAAUCAAUUCUAGGGCUUGAACAGGGGGUGAUAUAAUUUGAGUAUUGGUUAUCUUGUGUAUUCUUGAUUUUACAAAUCAAGAGAGGUAGCAAAUAGGUUUCUCUAUGGCACGCAUGGUGAUGUGGGGAGUUCUAUCGUCAUGGUGUGUAUGGUGUGGGGGCAUCCUAUGGACAAGAAACGAUCAGUUUAAACGCCAUUUUUCUAAAAAUAAUGUUAUGUUUAUUUUGACAUUCGGAACUUAUCAGUGGGACUUGAACUUUGGUUAUUUUUAAGGAUAUUGCAUGAAAACUACUAUUUUUCUUUUUAAACUAUUGGGCCCAACUUGCAUGUUUUAGCAAGGCCCCACUUGGAUUUUACAAUUAGUGGCUUUUUCUCCUAUAAAUUCAUGAGUAUGCAAAUGUUUUA